Podarcis raffonei (Aeolian wall lizard) is the source of this 585-nucleotide long non-coding RNA. RefSeq lists it as uncharacterized. The record is from RefSeq and is a predicted model, not a curated record. The transcript is spliced from 2 exons. NCBI's taxonomy places the organism in Eukaryota, Metazoa, Chordata, Lepidosauria, Squamata, Lacertidae.
UGGGAAAGGUUGAUUUUUGACAGUUUAACUGCCAGGUAGUGGCCACAGUGGCCAGCCAGAUGCAUCUUGGGAAUCAUGUAAAUCUUUUGCUUUUUACGAAGAUCCUGCUGUGAAUCACUAGUGGAGAGAACAUUGUUGUGCUCAGCCCCUGCUUAUGAGUUUUGCACAGACAGCUGUUUGGCCACUGUGAGGACAGAUGGGCCUGUGGCCUGAUCAAGCACGACUCUUCUGGUGUUCUUAUAAGUCUCCAGCUCUGAAUCCUCAACAUAGAAGAAACAGAAAGUGCACUGGGAACUUCCUACCACUCUGAAAGGUGGUAUAAUUAGAUGAAACCUGACAUGCCAUUGACAUGCUGGGAACAUGUGUUGGAGGCACAUGUUUUGAUUAGUGCUCUCUCUCUCUCUCUCUCUCUCUCUCUCACACACACACACACACACACACACACCCCAGUGACCAGUCUUUUCAAGGCUGCCUUUUCAUCUGGAUUUGCAGAACACGCAGGAGAGCCUGAUGCCAAAAAUGUGCUUUGCAGCAAACAUCUCCGUUGUGAUUGUUUGUAACCAAUAAAAUCAUAUUACACACUGA